Molecule: ribosomal RNA, 253 nt
Filed under: uncultured bacterium
Lineage: Bacteria
Description: partial 16S ribosomal RNA
Rfam family: Bacterial small subunit ribosomal RNA
Source: RNAcentral
UACGGAGGGUGCAAGCGUUAUCCGGAUUCACUGGGUUUAAAGGGUGCGUAGGUGGCUAUGUAAGUCAGUGGUGAAAGCUCGCGGCUCAACCGUGAAAUUGCCAUUGAAACUGCAUAGCUUGAGUACAGUUGAAGUGGGCGGAAUACAUCAUGUAGCGGUGAAAUGCUUAGAUAUGAUGUAGAACACCGAUUGCGAAGGCAGCUCACUAAGCUGUAACUGACACUGAGGCACGAAAGCGUGGGGAGCGAACAGG